CCGCCUUCCUCAGCCGCGGAUACGACCCGCCGACAGCCCCCGAUACGGACCCUCACCCUCGCCGCGCCGAGCGCCGCUUGCUCUGGCAGGUACUUGCUCUUCCGUUCUCUCCGUUUUGUCUGGGGAAAUCUACCGAUGGAACGUUCGGUUCGACUCGACGGCGCCGCUGCCGCCGGCGGCAGAUCAUCGAGGUUGUGCUCGUGGAGAGAGUCGGAGCGGCGCGGAAGCAGGGGAGGGGGGAAGGGGGCUGCGCAGCGGAAGGAGGCGGUGGUGGGCGAGAGGACGCGGUGGGCGUGGGUGGGUAAGAGGAGCAGGGAAGGAAGAAGAAGCAGGAGCCAGGAGGUGCGGGGGCGUCAAGCCCUAGUGCAUUCGUUUUAUUGGAGCAGAAGGGAGGCGGUGGUGGGCGGGAGGACGCGGUGGUCGUCGCUGGGGAAUAGGAGCAGGGGAGGAAGAAGAAGGAGCCAGGGGGUGCGGGGGCGUCAGGCCCUAGUGCACUACUUUUAGGUUUUACACGAAAUGGAACUCCACGGAUACUCAAUUACUCAUUAUAGAUAGAAUAAGUCGCCUAAUUUAGUGACUAAAUAUUUGCAACUUUUACAUGUUUCUGCACUUUCUUUAACAAAACCUGCUGUGAUGUACUUACGGGAGUAAGGGAGUGCUUUAGCUGCAACCCAAGUUCAUGCCCAUGUUGCUUAUUAAGUGCAGCAGGUUUCCCCUGAUCCCUGUGAUCUCGGUCUAUGCCGUGAACAGUGCUCAGACUAAUUAAGAGUAGUCAUUAGUUAAUAGUCAGUUCUUCAGUUCUGAUGCAGCUAGUAAUAAAUUGCUCUUUCUCACAGAGUAGAUAUUGUGUGUUUGCAUGAAGUGAAGCUAUAAACUGUACUAGUUUAUUCUAUCCGAGAUGUUCAAGAAUUCCAUUUCUCAAGCUGCUUAUCUUCAGAGUUACAGUUUAACUUGCGGGGUGUGUUUUGGAAAUCAGUAAGGUUUAGAAUUGCUAUCUGAACUAUGUGUAUCUACUCCUUGCAUAUUAUACUUGUGCAGCGUGUUACUCCAUGAUGGCACAACUGAGUUAAAGACGCACAUCACAAUAGGACAUGUAAAACAAAUACUCCCUCUGUUCACAAGAUGUUCUAACUUUUUUCUGAAUUGGAUGUAUGUAGACAUGUUUUAGUGUGUUUGUUCACUUAUGUAGUCCAUAUUGAAAUAUCCCAAUCAUCUUAUAUUUGGGCACGAAGGAAGUAGUAAUUAAGACUACUCUACAGUGAUGGUUGCUGCUUUGUGUUGGAGCUACUGCUGUGUGUUACUUUGUCUGUAUUAUUGUUUUAAGAAUUGGAUUUGUAGCUUAUGGACACUCUCUUUUGUGCCAGCGUCCCUGCAAUGCAAGGAAUACUUGCCUGAGGUUUGAGGUAUGUGUCUUUUAGCUCAAUACAAGACUAAUUGUAUUUCGUCUGUUGUUGUCAGCAUUUGAUCUAUUACUCAUGGUUUGCUUUUCAUUGUCAGUGUUGUUGGUCACAAAAACGCUUGAUUCUUAACAUUUGCGCUCUGUCCCAGAUCUAUUUCUCCCUGCUGCUCUACGAUUACCACGCAAGGAGUCCUUGCAUCUCAGAUCGUUUGGACAGCACUACUUGAUCACACUCUACAACCUUAGGUUUGGGGUAUGCAAAAUUUGAUCAUUAUCUUUUAUUCUUAUGCUAUAUUCUUUUAUUGACUUUUGUGUUUUUUACUGUGAAGGCUGGAAUACUAUCGAAUAUUUUGAGCUCGGUUAUUUGAACCAAGAUCAGUAUACAAUGAGAAUGGAACUCUUGUUGUCGCACUUUUUGAUAUAUUGAAAAUGCCAUCAAGAAUAUUUGUCGUCAAAGUGUUUUCACGACUUAUUCAAAGACAACAAGAAUGGAACUCGGGAUGUCAGUUCAAAUGUCAAAUUCUCAAAACUUUUGGAAGGCAACUUGUGGAACUUUAGGUCAUGAGGAUGGAAAACUUAUGUGCGCUUAUCAUUUCAUCAACUUUCUAGUUCCUAUUUUGAAAGUUGAUAAACAAAUCACAUCUCCAUGAGACUUUGAAUCGUAAAAGAGAAUGGAACUUGGGUUGCCACUUUAACUGUCGAAUUCCUGGAUAUUUUUGAAAGGCAACUUGUGGAAGGAAUUAGAGCUUUAGAUCACGAAGAUGGAAAACCUUUAUCGACACUUUUCAGUCUGCAACUUUCCAGGUUUUUUUUGUUCUAUGUUCAUAGCAAAUCCAGUCUCCAAAGCUUGAAUUGUAAAUGAGAACAGAGUAUUGUGCUUGUAAUUUAUUUCUUCUUCAGAUUUCACUUUCUCGUGUAAUUGUACUUUGCUUAUUAUAUGAAUGAAUAAAGAUACUUUCUGCAAUUUC
This 2367-nucleotide long non-coding RNA is filed under the name Triticum aestivum (bread wheat). RNAcentral's name for it is "long non-coding RNA (TAES_LNC022851)". The record is from RNAcentral. Lineage: Eukaryota; Viridiplantae; Streptophyta; Magnoliopsida; Poales; Poaceae.